Molecule: long non-coding RNA, 575 nt
Organism: Leopardus geoffroyi (Geoffroy's cat)
Lineage: Eukaryota; Metazoa; Chordata; Mammalia; Carnivora; Felidae
Exons: 2
Source: RefSeq, a predicted model, not a curated record
CAUCCUUUUUUUCAGUACCACACAAUAGAUUACUGUUCUUCAGUAGUAAGAUCUGAAGUCAGGAAGCUGACUUCCUCAGAUCUUUCUCGUCUCAUCUACAUAGCUGAAGAAGGAAUGGUUGUGUGAAUAUCAAUAUGGUAUUGAUAAAUGCCUGAAAAGCCUCUGACAAUGUGUUUUCCAACCAGAAGGUUUGAACUUGAAACUCUCUCACAAAAAGUGAGUAAAACCUCUUUUCUCUCCAAGAGACUUUACUGUAACUACUACCAGGAGACAUUUUGUGAAAAGGGGGAUAAUGUUUUUUCCCUCACUUUUGUAUUUUCCACAUCUCGUAUUCUGCAUGGCACAUAGUGGUGUAUUCAGUAAAUAUUUGUUGAAUUAACAAAAUGUAAACAUGUUAACUUUUCUCUCCAAUAAGCAUUAGCACUACUGUUGGUGAAAGCAGUAUUAACAAGAUAACUUUUAGAUAAUUAUAAAUUGUAAAUGACAUGUGACUAAGUUUCUACUGUCAAAUAUAGAUUAUUUUUGCUUAUAUUAAUAUAUUUUAAAAGAUAAUAAAAGUUGUCUCAUAGUGGUCA